GGCAAGAGGCACUUUUCCUAGUGACCAUGGGGCUGUUAGCAGGUCCCUUAGCAGCUGGAGUGUUGUUGGGUUUGUGAACCUAUGCCCCUGUAUGCCUUGGCCUUUCCAAAGGGUCAGCCUCUUCCUGGUAGUGCUUUUGUGUACUUGUCUGAUUGGGACUUCAUGUUUCUUUGAUGGGACUGUUGUUUGAAACUGUACACACGGUGUGAGUUUAUAUCAGCUGUGAGGUGCAAUGGGGUGGAGAUCAGCAAUACAGCCAGAGACCUUACGUGAUCUGACAUUGUCUAGGUGAUUGGCAGGUGUGGGGUUGUGGAGAGAGGUGGGGCUGACAGGUGGUGCUGAAACAUCCCCCAUGACAAGCUCUUCUGUCCCCUACCUCACCUGUUCACUACCCAGCAGUUCUCUCUUGUCUAUCUGUUCUGCUUUCAUCUUUUCAUCUUUGUUGGCUGUGUCUGGUUUUCAGUGUGUCUCUCUCUUCUUCCUCCUCUUGGGAAUGUAGCUCAGUGGUAGAAUGCUUGCCUAGCAUGCUCAAGGCCCUGGGUUCAAUCUCCAGUACUGCCCCAAACAAAGAUCAGCCCGCACCAGAUGUUACCAGUAUCCUUCCUCUUCCUCCUCCCCACCACCAAAUUCGUCCUGGUUCCAUUUCUAGUUUCUCUUUGCCAGUGAUCCGACCCUCCUGUCCCCACCAGGGCCAGAGCUGGCUGGGCCUAAGGAAAGCUUGCCCUAAGGAGGACUUUGAGCCUGCGCAGGGAGUCCAGGGGAACCAGGGUCUGAUAAUCUAUACUCCAGAGAUCCAGAGAAGACUGGGGAGUGGGCUGCCAGGGAGAGGAACUGAAAGGAGGGGAUAGAGAGAGGAGGGGGGCUGGAAGAGGGUGGCCCUCCAUCAGGAUCUGGGGCAAUCUAGGUAGGGCUGUGGAGGACGGGGCCCCAGAAAGCGCCAGAGAGAAGCAAAGGUUGGUGGUGUGAAAAGAGCAAGUCUGGCUGGACAGGUGAGCCCUGUUCCCUUCCCCCUUCUGGUUCCUGUUGCUGGGCUGGGCGCCGGGCCUGUGGGAACCCGCUCCUUCCCCAGUGCCCUAGGGCUCUCCCCCUCGCCUCUCUCCAGGAACCAGGCCCAGAAAAGGGGGAGUAGGGAGGGGCGCCAACCCCUCCUGGGGCCGCGUGAGCGGGUAGCAGCAGGCCCCCUGGCGGUGCUCUUUGUGGGGAACUCAGGGCCGCGGGGGAUGGGCAGGGAGCGGGCCUGGGUCCGCAGCGCCAGAGACUGGGCUGCUGGCUAGGACUGGCGACCGCGGGGAUGGCGCGCCGAGGAGGGGGUGGCGGACGGGUUACCU
This 1328-nucleotide long non-coding RNA is filed under the name Marmota monax (woodchuck). Lineage: Eukaryota; Metazoa; Chordata; Mammalia; Rodentia; Sciuridae. The record is from RNAcentral.